AUUGAACGCUGGCGGCAUGCUUUACACAUGCAAGUCGAACGGCAGCACGGGUGCUUGCACCUGGUGGCGAGUGGCGAACGGGUGAGUAAUGCAUCGGAACGUGCCCAUGAGUGGGGGAUAGCCCGGCGAAAGCCGGAUUAAUACCGCAUACGCCCCUUAGGGGGAAAGCGGGGGAUCUUCGGACCUCGCGCUAUUGGAGCGGCCGAUGUCGGAUUAGCCUAGUAGGUGAGGUAAAGGCUCACCUAGGCGACGAUCCGUAGCUGGUCUGAGAGGAUGAUCAGCCACACUGGGACUGAGACACGGCCCAGACUCCACGGGAGGCAGCAGU
Molecule: ribosomal RNA, 328 nt
Filed under: uncultured bacterium
Lineage: Bacteria
Description: bacterial SSU rRNA
Rfam family: Bacterial small subunit ribosomal RNA
Source: RNAcentral